AUUCCAGCUCCAAUAGCAUAUACUAAAGUGUUGCAGUUAAAAAGCUCGUAGUUGAAGUUAAAGUCUUAUUGGGCUAACGUUUUUUACAGCUCUGCCGGCUAAAAUAACUCCAAUAAUUCUUUUUUAAUAGCUCAGUUUCUAGGUCUUUGACUCUAGUUAUUUGUGCAUUUCACUGUGAGAAAAUUGUGGUGUUUAAAGCAGGCGUCUCGUCUGAUCUUUUGCAGCAUGGUAUGAUGGAACAUGACAUUUUACGCUAUUGGUUAGUGUCUAAAGUGUAAUGAUUAAUAGGGAUGGAUGGGGAUGUUCAUAUUGGUGGGCGAGAGGUGAAAUUCGUUGACCCUAUCAAGAUGAACUUUUGCGAAAGCAUUCAUCAAAUACUUCCCCAUUAAUCAAGAACGAAAGUAUGGGGAUAGAAGACGAUCAGAUACCGUCGUAGUCCAAACUAUAAACUAUAUCAUCCAGGGAUCGGCUAAUAUCUAUAAUAAAUUUAGCCGGCACUCAUCGUCAAUCCAAAUAAUGUAAUUCCGCCGGGAGUACCACCC
Molecule: non-coding RNA, 542 nt
Filed under: Dictyostelium purpureum
Lineage: Eukaryota; Evosea; Eumycetozoa; Dictyosteliales; Dictyosteliaceae
Description: Eukaryotic small subunit ribosomal RNA
Rfam family: Eukaryotic small subunit ribosomal RNA
Source: Rfam by way of RNAcentral